RNAcentral lists this ribosomal RNA (872 nucleotides) under uncultured bacterium. RNAcentral's name for it is "bacterial SSU rRNA". It matches the Rfam family "Bacterial small subunit ribosomal RNA", at positions 89 to 964 of the family's 1533-position model. The record is from RNAcentral.
UGACGAGUGGCGGACGGGUGAGUAAUACUUAGGUAUCUGUCCUUCGGAGGGGGAUAACCAUUGGAAACGAUGGCUAAUACCGCAUAACGUCUGAGGACCAAAGGGGGCUUUUAGCUCUCACCGAGGGAGGAGCCUAAGCGAGAUUAGCUAGUUGGUGGGGUAAAGGCCUACCAAGGCGACGAUCUCUAGCUGUUCUGAGAGGAAGAUCAGCCACACUGGGACUGAGACACGGCCCAGACUCCUACGGGAGGCAGCAGUGGGGAAUAUUGCACAAUGGGGGAAACCCUGAUGCAGCCAUGCCGCGUGUGUGAAGAAGGCCUUCGGGUUGUAAAGCACUUUCAGUCGUGAGGAAAGGGUGUAAGUUAAUACCUUACAUCUGUGACGUUAGCGACAGAAGAAGCACCGGCUAACUCCGUGCCAGCAGCCGCGGUAAUACGGAGGGUGCGAGCGUUAAUCGGAAUUACUGGGCGUAAAGCGCACGCAGGCGGUUUGUCAAGCUAGAGGUGAAAGCCCCGCGCUCAACGUGGGAAUGGCCUUUAGAACUGGCAGACUAGAGUCUUGGAGAGGGGAGUGGAAUUCCAGGUGUAGCGGUGAAAUGCGUAGAGAUCUGGAGGAACAUCAGUGGCGAAGGCGACUCCCUGGCCAAAGACUGACGCUCAUGUGCGAAAGUGUGGGUAGCGAACAGGAUUAGAUACCCUGGUAGUCCACACCGUAAACGCUGUCUAUUAGCUGUUUGUGUAUCUGAUACGUGAGUAGCGAAGCUAACGCGCUAAAUAGACCGCCUGGGGAGUACGGCCGCAAGGUUAAAACUCAAAUGAAUUGACGGGGCCCGCACAAGCGGUGGAGCAUGUGGUUUAAUUCGAUGCACGCGA